CCCCUUUUAGUUUAUUUAAAAAAUGUCAAAUUGUGGUUUUGAAGAAUUAGAGGGGA
This 56-nucleotide transfer RNA is filed under the name Leptotrombidium intermedium. RNAcentral's name for it is "tRNA-His". The record is from RNAcentral. Lineage: Eukaryota; Metazoa; Arthropoda; Arachnida; Trombidiformes; Trombiculidae.